Long non-coding RNA from Centruroides sculpturatus (bark scorpion), 2154 nucleotides. RefSeq lists it as uncharacterized. The transcript is spliced from 4 exons. Lineage: Eukaryota; Metazoa; Arthropoda; Arachnida; Scorpiones; Buthidae. The record is from RefSeq and is a predicted model, not a curated record.
GUGAUGUGAUCUGUUAUCUUGUGAAAAUGAUAUGGAUUUUUUUAUGUAUGAUCAUUGUAGAUUUUGAUCACUAAAUCAAAUGUAAAUAAAAAGUUCAAAAUUGAGAGGUCUAAGUUAGUUUAGUUGUUGUAAAUUCUUUAUGCAGUCUUAAUGACCAAGGCUUAGUGCUUGAAAGAAAGGAAGAAAUUUGUUAAAAAAUAAAUUUCUUCCUUUGUUACUUCCAUUUUAAUAAUAAAAAUUUGUAGAAAAAUACUGGAGAAGUGAAGGAAAAUUGUCUGUAAUGUUCUAAUUUCAUUCUCCAUUAACUCCAUAGUAAUUAAACAAAUUGAAACACUAAUAAAUUAAAAAGUCUUGUUUUGUAAAAUCAGACUCUUUAACUUAUUAGUAUUUUGACUUGUUUUAGCUGUAAUGUAAGAUCAUAACAAAUCUUAACAUUGGUGGAGUUAUAGAAAGUUUAAAAGUUAAUAAUUGUACCCAAGAAUUAUGCUCAACAAUUCAGACAAGAAAUAAUAAUAAUAGUUAAUAAUAUGAAAAACAAUAAGAUCAUUUCUCCUAGUCUUUAAGUACUAUCAUUUUAAAGAUGAUUCAAGUAGAUUCAAGAAAUAUGUGAUGAAAUCAUUUAUUUCUUGAAUCUUUAGUUUCAUUAUUUCUGACUUUUAAUAAGUAAAAAUAAAUAAUAAUUAGUUUUUAUACAGGCGACCCUCGACUUUCGCACAUAAUUGGUUCCUGAAAGUGUGUGCGAAUGUUGAAUGUUCAAAAGUAGAGGGAUGUAAAAAAAUAUGCACCAAAAACUGUGUUUAAAAUAUUUAUUCCUUAAUUUUACUCUUAUUUUUCAAAAUUCCAAAUACCGUAGAUCUGUUUAUAUUGUACGAACAUCCGGUUGAAGCAAAAGAUUUACUGUUUUCAGAAUGUUUAAUUAUUUUCAUCUUUGUCUCGAUCGUAUGAAGUUUAUGAGUCCUUAAUUUUUUUUUGUUCAUAUCAACAUUGCAGUUUCUCUGUUUCUCACUCAUGUUUAUCAAUUUAUCAGGACGAAAUAUUUAAACAUAAACAAAUAAAUUGGCAAAACACACAACACGUUGACGCAUGCCCUAAUGCAAAACUGAAAUUGUUUUGACCUCUUGCUUGGAACAACACAGUAGUGAUUAGGAUUCUGAGAAGUCUGCUAUUGUAGGAAGUAAUGUGUGGCAGAGAAUGUAGAGUGAACUACCACACUUUGUAGUGUAUGAGCAUUCUGCAUGGAAGGAAAUUUUUUCAUUAUUGACAAAUAUUUAAAAAGUUGAAUUUUUAAAAAUGUGCAAAAUAGCGAAUUGUGCAAAAGUUGAGGGCCGCCUGUAGUUUGAUUCUGGUCAGGAUGCUUCUGAAAGAAUACUUAUAUUCUGUACUCGACAUAUAUUGGAGCAAUUUGCCAACAGGAAACUAAUGUGAUGAUUCGAGGGCUAUUCUCUUGUAAAAGUUUAAUGAAAAAUGCAUUAAUUUAGAAAUUCAUCCAUUCCCACAGUAAUUAGAAAACAAAUGAGCAGGUGUUCACUUUAACAGUAAACAAUUGACUAACAUACUCGUGUUAGAGAGGGGUUUUCACAACAAGUCCCUUCCCACUCACAUUGACCGGAAAAUGGUUUGGAAAUAUAUUAAACAAUCAAUUGUUAAUCAUGAGAAAGUUGUUAGUUAAUGACAUCCACAAGGAGAAUCUAAAACCAAAUAGAAGAAAUAGGAGACCUAUGAGUCAAUUUUGUUUAAACUUCCUUGUCUGGUGAUGUCACCACUGCCAACAGGUUGUCACGAGACCAAAUUCCCAUGUUAGAUGGGUAUAUAAUGGUCGCAUGUCCAACUUUUCAGGCGGACAUACUCAGGAAACAACCAUAUAGUUGUCCCGCCAUAUAGUCUCCAAAGGAUCAUCUUUAUAAAUUUUAUGCUAUGUGCAAAUAUUGUCCCAAGCCUUGACUGAUAUUCUGUCACUGGAUACGACAGAGGAAAUCUUGCAUCAUCUGAUGAUUCAGGAAAACAUUUUUCAAGAUCUAUAGAUAUGUGGAAACAUAUAUUUUUAUCUCAUUUUCCACAAGUGACUACUAAAUUAACUGUUUCUGAAGAUCCAGGGAAAGAUCCCCAUUUUAAAGAAAGGGAUAUUGAUAUAAUGAGAGCGCAGAAAGAUAAAGU